RNAcentral lists this ribosomal RNA (684 nucleotides) under Oligodon cinereus (Guenther's kukri snake). RNAcentral's name for it is "partial small subunit ribosomal RNA". Lineage: Eukaryota; Metazoa; Chordata; Lepidosauria; Squamata; Colubridae. The record is from RNAcentral.
GCCUAGCCUUAACACAGCAAUAAAACCACCAAUUGUCCGCCAAAUAACUACGAGUAAUAACUUAAAAUUUAAAAGACUUGCCGGUACCCCACAACAACCUAGAGGAGCCUGUUUAAUAAAUGAUACUCCACAAUUAACCCUACCUACCAUAGCCAAACAGUCUAUAUACCGCCGUCGCCAGCCCACCUCGUGAGAGAAUAAAAGUGAGCCAAACAGAUCCCACUAAUACGACAGGUCAAGGUGUAACUAAUGGGUGGGACCAAGAUGGGCUACAUUUUCUUACCAGAAUAUACGAAUUAACUAUGAAAAAGGAACUGAAGGCGGAUUUAGCAGUAUAUUAAGAACAAAAUACUUAAUUGAAACCAAUGCAAUGGGGUGCGCACACACCGCCCGUCAUCCCUGCAACCAAAAAAAUCUAUUCAUAAUAACAUACUAAUAUAAACCAGGGCAAGUCGUAACAUGGUAAGUGUACUGGAAAGUGCACUUAGAAACAAAAAGUAGCUUACAAAAAGCAUUCGACUUACAACCGAACGACAUUACACUAAUCUUUUUGAGCCAAAACUAAUAUACAAAUAUAUAUAUAAUAAAAAAACAAAACAUUUGACCACCUAAGUAGAUGAGAUCGAACAGUAAAUACACCUAGUACCGCAAGGGAAACAAUAAAGCAAUAAAAAGCAAAGAUUA